CCCCUCCCUCGCCCUUCCCCAAAUCUCGGGUCUGACGUCGCGCCCUCUUAUUCGACUUUUCCCCGCGUCUCUUCCCAGAGUCGCCAAUCGCCUGGGCGCCUUACAGGCGAGGCGGCCCACCCCCUCGGAUCCUGCGCGCAGGGCGGGGCGGGGCAGGGGCGGGAGCCCGGGCGCCGCUAGUCCCUGCCCGACCCCUCCUGCCCGCGCGGGGUGGUGGAGCGUGAGGCUUGGGGACCGGCAGCCGUGGACUCCCGAGAGCGUGGCCUGGCGUCCGCACCGGGUGGAAUUCGUAUUUGGCCAGGAAUCCGGACUCCGAGCAUCCCAGGGGACACGGACCUGGGGCCUCCCGAGCUCUCCGGAGUGUGCUGCCGCUCCCACCAGCCACCAGGGACUCGGAGGCCCUUCCUAGGUCCGGAGAAGCAACGGGGAAACUCAGGGGGAAACUUUGCCAACUUUGCUGUCGGCGCAGGAGAGGCCGCCGGCCCGAAUUGUGCAGCGGCGGUGGCGGGCCGUGACGCGCAGGGUGGACCCCGGGCCAGAGCUGGGCACCCGGGAGCGGGUCGGGAUGCCCGAGGUGGGGCGUGAGGCCGGUGGGCCCUUUGCUCACCGCUCCGCCCCUGCUCCUCCCCCGACCUGGCUCACUCCCCUGCGUCUCUGAGCGGCUCGGGAGGCGCAGCGCCCAGAUGGCCUAGAUGGAUGAAUCUGGCCCUCGGAGGGAAUAAUUUCUUUUCCGUUACCUCUCCAAGAUCAUCUGUUUCCUACCUGACUUGAGCGGUCCCCUCCCCCAUGCCUUUGUUUUUCUCUUCCCCUCCGUCUGUCCUUCCCAUUUCCUCUAUCUUCGAUUUCUAAAUCUUUCCUUCUCUUUCCUCCGCUCCCUCAUUUGUGUUGUUUUUAUGCCUUUGCCCUGGACCACUUUUCAGUUCACUUUUCUCCCUUCUGUUCCCUCCUUCACCCGCUUCUUCUUUUCUCUUCUUCCUGAGUCUGUGACUGUGUCCCUUUACCCCACCCGCAGUUCUUGUUUCUAAUUUUCUUUCUUUCCUCCCCUCUUUCAUCCGGACCCUCUCCUAUUUCCUCCUUGGAUUUCUUGUUCUGUUUCUCAGGUUUUCUUCUCUGUAAAUAUUCUCUCUUCUUCUCUCCCUCUCCGGGAUCCGUACCCCACCCCCCCCCCCGCGCCCCCUUGGAUCCGCCUCCCCGGCGCCCCCUCCUCAUUCAUCCUGGGAGAUGAAUUUGUCGCCUUAUUGGACGCCGAGGCCAGAGCCGUGUGAGGGGGUUCGGCCAGCGUUGCGCACUUUCUUCAUGCAUAUUGAGGAGAUGGUAAUGAGCGCGUUUGCAUUGUUGCUUGGAAAUUUUGUGUUUCCUGCCGCAGUUCGCAAUUCGGAAUGGGCGAGGGUGGUGCGGGCCCAGGACCUCGGUAGGCGCCCGGCCUGGCGGCCGCCGCUGACCCCCUCUGGAUUCCCGGGCUCUCGGGGCCGGGGGAGGAAGCGACCUUGCCGAGCUCCUGACCGGCCGCCACCUCCUCCUUGGGUUUCUCGACAAAGGCCGGCGCGCUCCCCUCAUUAAAGCCUCGUUACUGGAACCCCCGGCUGGCUCGCGACGGCUCCUCCGAGCCCCCUGCUCACCGGCCUCUGAGCCCCUCCCCCGAUGUUGAGAGGCCUGUGAUGGAGCGCCACCAGAAAAUUGGUGGCUGACAACGUCGUCUAUUGGCAAUAAAUUGUUUGCGAUUCCGAGUGACACGUUGCGGAUCAAAUACAGCCACACUGUGUACCCUGCUGCACUCGCUCCUCGUUAAUCUUGGAGGGCGCCUUGGCAUCGCUGGCAAGGAGAGGUUGCGCUCAGGCCUCUCGGCUGUCAGGACCCUGGUCCUGCCUGGACUUAGCCAGGGCAGAGCCCACUUGAGUCAUUCAGGAGGGACUGACUACCCCUCCCUGAGAAGGUCCAAGGAGCUCAUGAGGCAUGACCCAGGCGCACCUCUCAAUGAGCAGAAGGUUAUGAAAGUCAGGAGCUUCCAGGCGCAAACUCUGAAUUGAUCUUGUAGGGAAUCGACGUGAGCCUUGCUGGAAUUUAGGACAUCAAGGUCUGGCUUUGUCUGGAAUUGUCUAGUGUCGACUUUCCCAAACUUCAAGCUUUCUGCGACCACCUUUAUUAUUUACUUAACGUUUUCCCUUAAAUUGACUCAUUUUGAAAACCUAAGUACAUAUUUUUGGAAAGAAAACCUGAUACAACCACUGUAAAUUGAAAAGUAGCUGUUCCUCACCAGAAAAGGAAAUGGUAAAAGAUAAACACAGCUAAAACCAAGCAAUGUUAAUACAUUUUAGCCCUUCUGCUAGGUUGGAAAAACUCUUAGAGGUUCAGGUGUGUGUGUGUGUGUGUGUGUGUGUGUGUAUUAGCAAGUGUUGGGGAUGUUCAAUACUGAAUCUUUCUCAGAAGAAAUGAGACAAUUGAAAAGAAAACGUUUCUCACUAUUC
Long non-coding RNA from Callithrix jacchus (white-tufted-ear marmoset), 2465 nucleotides. RefSeq lists it as uncharacterized. Lineage: Eukaryota; Metazoa; Chordata; Mammalia; Primates; Cebidae. The record is from RefSeq and is a predicted model, not a curated record.